CGAUUUGAUCGGGAUACUCAUCAAAUAAUACUGAAAACCGAGACGACUUCUCCAGCCAAUGGCGGGCCACAUAAACCGCGUGAGCGGCCAAGCUGAAAAGCCGGUGGAUUACAACGACGGAGAGUUCUCAAAUCAUUUUUGCUCGGAGUUUCAUCACAUCAUCGG
This 165-nucleotide small RNA is filed under the name uncultured Prevotella sp. Its description in RNAcentral is "Bacteroidales-1 6S-Bacteroidales RNA suggested". It matches the Rfam family "Bacteroidales-1 6S-Bacteroidales RNA suggested", at positions 10 to 166 of the family's 179-position model. The record is from RNAcentral. Lineage: Bacteria; Pseudomonadati; Bacteroidota; Bacteroidia; Bacteroidales; Prevotellaceae.